Molecule: non-coding RNA, 1071 nt
Organism: Rattus norvegicus (Norway rat)
Lineage: Eukaryota; Metazoa; Chordata; Mammalia; Rodentia; Muridae
Source: RefSeq, a predicted model, not a curated record
CACAGGCACAGGCACAGGCACAGGCACAGGCACAGGCACAGGCACAGGCACAGGCACAGGCACAGGCACAGGCACAGACACACACACACACACACACACAGACAGAGACACACACACACACACACACCAUUCUUAAGAAGUUAGAUCUCUCACAGUAAGAUGAACCCUCUCACAGCAAUCACCAAUCAGGUCAAUCCCUCAGAGGCAUGGACACAGACCAGUCUAAUCUGGCAACAUGGGGCUUCAGGCGCAGCUUUGGAGAAGACGUUCUCCUCAAUGCUAACGACUAAUGACUAAGACCUAGACAGCAGCAGCUCUACCCAAACUGCCAACUACCAUUCAAGAUUAUUGUGAAGAGAACGUUAUAGAAAGGGAGGUAAAAGGUAGAGAGUGAAAAGGUAGAGAGAAUUCCUGCACACAAGAAAGCAGACAGAAUAGAGGGCAAGAAGGGAAGGAUGGAAUGGGAGGAAGGAUGUCGGGAUCAUCCACUUGUAGGUAAGACAACCCGGGAGCCUACCAUUAGGGUAUAACAGUGUCCGGUAAGCCUCCUCCUUGAUCACUCUCUGUGCAGGUUGUAUAAAUUGUCCAACAUGCUACAGAAGUGGAAGUCCUAGAGGAUCCUACAGCAUGACUUCUUUUUUCUCCUUGAAGAGCCUGGCAACUGUGACAGUGAGGUGACAAAUACUCCUUGCAGAGCAUUGAGAGUUGGCAGAGAACUGUUGGAAUCCAAUGUCUCAUGAUUCAUGCACUACUGAAUACCUAUGCCUAUUGAUCUUUUUCCUUCUGAAAAAUGUCUCUCUGGUACAUGCUGGCUGAAUAAUGAGAAAGUAUAAUCUUUAUUUUGUUUCUUUUGAUUUAAUCUGGUUUCCCCCAAAAGAGAAAUAUCUGUAGACUUCAGUGUGGCUGAGUUGUCAUCAAGCCAAGUGCCAUGUUCUGUAUGUUACCUGUGAGUUAGGACCUCUGUCACAUGGGGGACACACAUAGUCCAGGAAUCAUUGUCUCUGCUUUUCCCCCCUUGGUGUUAAAGAGACAAAGCCCACAAUCCUCAAAACAGAAAGUGUAACGCUCAAC